ACGCUGCAGACAAAAGGAGCCGCGCGCCCUCCCGAGCGCGGCAGCCCUCGCCGGGCAGGCGAAGGAGCGCGCCGCGAACGGCCGCCUCCUUCGCGGACUCAGUUUCCCCAGCUCGCUUCCUCAGCUGGAAAACCGGGAGGGUAGCCGCCCCGCCGCCCCCGGGCGCAGCAGGUGCCGGGAACUCCCUAGCAGCCCGAAAACGCCCCCCACCCCCCUCCCAUGAAGAAUUCAGUGAAUUGGUUUUCUCCUGGAGACAGACCCUUGGCGCCUCGGGCCUGCCUUGAGUGUCCUGGCUGUGACAGUGCCCUGGCUGCUGUCCUGUCUCCUCCUGCCCUCGGGUGCUCCUGUCAGACUCAUCUCCCUCAAACUCUUCUCUGGAGAGAAAACCUCUGGGCUCUCGGGACCUGCAGACACGGCCCCGCCCUGGCCGGCUGUUUUCUUCUGCCACCUGCCACUGUGGUCUCCAGGCGCCUCAUCUCCUCCAGGGCUGAGAUCUGGACUGGGGCUUCAGUCUCAGCGGUAGCUCUCCUGAGAGCCAGCCGGGGAGGAGUGGCUUCCUUCCUGCCUCCGUGAGCCCAGGGAGUCCCAUUGGAAGACAUCGGCUGUACUAACUGCAUCUGCUACAUUCACAGUAGAGUCAGAGGCUUGCCCGGUUCAUUCCUUACUGCCGAGAAAUAAAACCUUGCCAAAUAACA
Molecule: non-coding RNA, 695 nt
Organism: Oryctolagus cuniculus (rabbit)
Lineage: Eukaryota; Metazoa; Chordata; Mammalia; Lagomorpha; Leporidae
Source: RefSeq, a predicted model, not a curated record